RNAcentral lists this unclassified non-coding RNA (394 nucleotides) under Apis florea (little honeybee). Its description in RNAcentral is "uncharacterized LOC100867612, transcript variant X1". The record is from RNAcentral. Lineage: Eukaryota; Metazoa; Arthropoda; Insecta; Hymenoptera; Apidae.
CAACUACUCUCUCUCUCUCUCUCUCUCUCUCUCUCUAUGUAUAUGUGUAUAUAUAUAUAUAUUCCCUGUUUGUCACGCUUUCAUUCCAGUGGUCGCCCAAUACUUCGAAGUUCAGGUUUACGAUCAGUUCGCGAUCCGCGGGAACGCGGCAAUUUUCAAGUGUCAGGUUCCAUCGUUCGUCGCCGACCACGUGGACGUAGUGGGAUGGAUCGAUUCGAACGGCGGCAGUUACGUGGCCGAUGGACAGUCAUACGAUGGAAAAUACUUGGUACUGCCUUCCGGGGAGCUUCACAUUCGCGAUGUUGGACCCGAGGAUGGAUACAAGACUUACCAAUGCCGCACCAAGCAUAGACUGACCGGAGAGACGAGGCUGUCGGCAACCAAGGGACGACUC